Non-coding RNA from Oryza sativa Japonica Group (Japanese rice), 2319 nucleotides. NCBI's taxonomy places the organism in Eukaryota, Viridiplantae, Streptophyta, Magnoliopsida, Poales, Poaceae. The record is from RefSeq and is a predicted model, not a curated record.
CUUCACCCGUUCCCUUGGCCGAGUUGGCCGCCGCGCGGUUCUUGGCCGGCGUCGGCCCGCUUCCGCUGCUGCGCCGCCUGCCGCCCAAACCCAUCUCCCGGAGAAGCUGCUCCUCGAUGUCGGUGGAGUACGUCUUCCCGGCGCCGAAUCCAACCGGCUUCGGCCGGUUCUUCAGAAAUUCAUCCUCAUCAACCUCCACCUCCACCUCCACUUCCUCAUCGUCUUCCUCCUCCUCCUCCUCCUCCUCCUCGUCAUCCUCAUCCUCCUCCUCUAACUCGCCCAAGCUGGUCGCCACGGGCUCGCGGUCCCGGCGGCCGUAUUUCCGCAGGCGAGGGAAGGCGAAGAGGAGGUGGGACGCGCGUAGCCGAGAAGGCGGGGGCAGCGAGACGGCGACGGGCGCUGGCGCUGGCGCCGGUGCCGGCCCAGCCGCCGCGGCGGUCGGCGGCGACAGUAGCAGCAGCAGUGGCAUUUCGUGUUCCCUUUUUGCCUUUUUUUCCCCUUUUCUUUUUUUAAAAAAACUUCGGUGACGGUCCUCUUUUAUCAUCGAGAGGGAGGGAGAGUGAACUGCCACCGUCCGUUCGAUCCUUAUCAAAACAGCAUCGCGUCCUCUGCCUCCUCUUCCCCACGCCGCCGGCCGCGCCGCCGCUGCCGCCGUCGCCCCGCGCCCUUCUCCCUCAUCCCCGCCGCUGUGAGGUGUCAACUCCGUCGCCGCCUCCCCUGUGGUAGCACGAGGGGAACCAGGGCUCACAUGCUACUCGAUCGGGGCGUAACUUUGGAUAGCCAUGGCGGCUAUGCUUCUUCGCCUUCAUCCCUGCCCUCUCCUCUUUCCGCCGCCGCCACCGCACCCACAUCUCCGCCGCCAGCUGGCCGUCUAUUCGAUCCCGAAAUCCUCCUUCCGAUCCGCCGCCGCCGCGGCUCGAGCUAGAAACCCUCCGCGUCUGGCCUCCGUCGGUGGAGCCGAGCGACGGCGCGUGGGUGACGAUUAUGAUGAAGAGGAAGAGGACUUGGGACAGGCUCUCGAGAGAACGCGGCAACUUGUCGAGUGCGCGAUGUUCGCAUCCGUCGCUGGCCUCGCGUACUUCCUCAGCAACUCCCUCGCCAUCGAGAAUUACUUUAGCUGCUUUUUUCCAUUGCCGAUUGUUAUCUCCUCCUUAAGAUGGGGACUAGAAGCUGGCAGGAAAACUGCGGUGGCUACUGUUUUACUGCUAUUCACAUUGUCUGGCCCUGUAAAAGCAUCAACUUAUCUGCUCAUGCAUGGAGUAGUAGGUCUGGCCAUGGGUACUAUGUGGAGGUUGGAGACCAACUGGAUUGUUUCCAUCAUACUCUGCUCAAUUACCCGGGCUCUAGGGGCUUGUGGAUACGUUUUAUUGUCGUCAUUUCUGAUAAGAGAGAAUAUUCUUGGAUUGAUAACAGUCAAUAUACAUGCUUCCCUGACAUACAUUCUGGCGGCAGCUGGGGUGAACACGAUUCCUUCCAUGGAUGCAAUUUAUGUACUCUUUGGAACGCUGCUUCUACUCAACUGUGGAUUCUUUAUCUUCCUACUACAUAUAAUGUAUACAAUAUUCCUGACUAAGCUCGGAAUAAAGCCUUCAUUGAGACCUCCAAGAUGGCUGGACAAAGCAAUUUGAGUUUACAGCCCACGGAUCGGCGACACACCAUGGAGGAGGACGAUGACACCGUGUCGGUUGAUGGCGGUGGCCGGCGGCGGUUGAGGCGAUGGCACUGCUUUAGCCCUCGCUGCUAGACGCUGGGCAGCACCUUAACCAGCAAGGAGGUGUUCAUCUGGGCCAAUAGCAACAACCAACGGCUGCUCCACAUUGGCGACAUUGAUAGAACAAGCAAGUCCUACAUUUGCACAUCGUGCUCCAUGUGGCUGGCCACAGAGGAUAGAGUGGAAUCCGCCGGUGAUGGAGGAUGUUUGCUAUUUUUCUUUUGCUCGUUAUCUCUAUUGACAUGAACGAGAAUGUUUUUGCAUUUUUUUUUGCUUGCUAGAUGAUGGAUGGCUGCUAAUGCGCAGCGUCGAGCUCAUCUCUAGACCACACCGCUACAUCCUUCCAUGAUUCCAUCGUCGACUACUGCUCGCCACCUGGUUGCCCUCUCCACUACCAGUCACAAGACACAGACCUCUCUCUUCAUCCUUAUAGCAAGAUCCAGCAAGCCACCAGAAAGAUUUUUGACUGAACCAUUUUUUUUCUUUUCUAGUUUGAUUCACCUGUGAGUAAUUUUAUCGCUUGUGUGAUUGAGCCUGCAAUUUUUUCAUUCAUACGGCUAUUUUGUGAGACAGAUCAACAAUACUCUUAGUACCAGUUUUUACUAUUA